This 247-nucleotide ribosomal RNA is filed under the name uncultured bacterium. Its description in RNAcentral is "partial 16S ribosomal RNA". It matches the Rfam family "Bacterial small subunit ribosomal RNA", at positions 524 to 776 of the family's 1533-position model. The record is from RNAcentral.
UACGUAGGGUGCAAGCGUUGUCCGGAAUUAUUGGGCGUAAAGAGCUCGUAGGCGGUUUGUCGCGUCUGCUGUGAAACCCGAGGCUCAACCUCGGGCCUGCAGUGGUACGGCAGACUAGAGUGCGGUAGGGAGAUUGGAAUUCCUGGUGUAGCGGUGAAAUGCGCAGAUAUCAGGAGGAACACCGAUGGCGAAGGCAGGUCUCUGGCCACUACUGACGCUGAGAAGCGAAAGCAUGGGAGCGAACAGG